Molecule: RNA transcript, 2284 nt
Organism: Eutrema salsugineum
Lineage: Eukaryota; Viridiplantae; Streptophyta; Magnoliopsida; Brassicales; Brassicaceae
Gene name: cationic amino acid transporter 4, vacuolar
Exons: 14
Source: RefSeq, a predicted model, not a curated record
UCGUGUAUCGAAAAACAAACAAAUCACAAACGUCAUCUGACCAACCGUUCGAGAAUCUUACCAACGAGGAUCUUGAUUCACCAUCUCACAAAAGUUACAUUCGUGCAAGCCUCUCCAAGUAUCUCCGGCUCCGAUACACCAUCUGGAUUCAGUUAUCUGUUUAAGAGCAAAAAGAUUUGACUUUUGUUGGAUUUUCUGGCAGAGAAACCAAAUGUGUUGGCUCUGAAGCUAUUGGAAAAUCAAAUCCGUCUGUGGAGUCUUUCUUUAUUUUCGUCUGUGGGUUGGUUGAUAUGAACGAGAACGGUGGUUCAUGGGGUUUGAACAGUCUUGUGAGAAGGAAACAAGUUGAUUCUGUUCAGCUGAAAACUGACGAUGGUCAUCAUCAUCAUCAGCUCGCCAAGAAAUUAACCGCCGUUGACCUUGUCGCUAUUGGAGUUGGAACAACAAUUGGAGCAGGAGUGUAUAUUCUAGUGGGAACAGUAGCUAGAGAACACACAGGACCUGCUCUUGCUGUUUCCUUCUUCAUUGCUGGAGUAGCAGCUGCUCUCUCGGCGUGUUGUUAUGCUGAGCUUGCUUCUCGCUGUCCAUCUGCUGGGAGUGCUUAUCAUUAUGCAUACAUAUGUCUUGGAGAAGGGGUUGCUUGGUUGGUUGGUUGGGCACUGGUGUUGGAUUAUACAAUUGGUGGAUCGGCCAUUGCCCGUGGCAUAACUCCAAAUCUGGCAUCUUUCUUUGGAGGCUUGGACAAUCUUCCUGUUUUCUUAGCCCGACAAACCAUACCUGGACUUGGUAUUGUGGUUGAUCCAUGUGCAGCACUGUUGAUUAUGAUUGUCACAAUACUACUAUGCUUUGGGAUAAAGGAGAGCUCAUUAGUACAAGCAAUUGUAACAUCAGUGAAUGUUUGCACCUUGGUUUUCAUCAUAGUAGUUGGUGGAUAUUUAGCUUUCAAGACUGGAUGGGUUGGAUAUGAUCUUCCGAGUGGGUAUUUUCCUUUUGGAUUAAAUGGGAUACUCGCCGGAUCUGCUGUAGUAUUCUUCUCGUACAUCGGAUUUGAUACCGUAACUAGCACGGCUGAAGAGGUUAAAAAUCCUCAAAGGGAUCUUCCAUUGGGCAUCGGGAUUGCAUUGCUGAUAUGCUGCAUCCUGUAUAUGCUUUUAUCUGUGGUUAUUGUUGGAUUAGUUCCAUACUAUUCUUUGAAUCCUGAUACUCCUAUCUCCUCUGCAUUUGGAGACAGUGGCAUGCAAUGGGCAGCUUACAUCUUAACCACUGGGGCAAUAACUGCUCUGUGCGCGAGUUUGUUGGGUUCGCUUCUGGCUCAGCCUCGAAUCUUCAUGGCAAUGGCUAGGGACGGAUUGUUGCCAGCUUUCUUUUCAGAAAUUAGUCCACGAACCCAAGUACCAGUGAAAAGCACAAUUGCAAUUGGUGUGCUGGCUGCUGCGCUCGCAUUUUUCAUGGAUGUUUCACAGUUGUCUGAGAUGGUUAGUGUAGGCACUCUGAUGGCAUUCACUGCCGUAGCAGCCUGUGUGUUAGUUCUUAGAUAUGUACCACCAGAUGGAGUUCCCUUAUCAUCUUCCUCUCAAGCUUGGACUGAUACCGAUGAAAGUAGAGCUGAAGCUGAAAAUUCUCUUGUGGAUGCUAUAGAAUCUUCUGAUUCCCCUCUACUUGGCGAUGAAACAGCUCGAGAUGAAAAGUAUUUUGGAAAGAGAAGAAAAGUUGCUGCAUGGAGUAUAGCUCUUGUGUGCAUAGGUGUACUAGGCCUUGCUUCAGCAGCUUCUGCUGAGCGUCUUCCAAUGUCAGUUCAUCAUCUGUUUUCCUCGGUUCUCUAUAUGUGGUGUCAGUGCUGCCAUCUUGCUUGGUAGCUUGAUUACUCUUGGAUGCAUCGAUGAGGAUGAUGAAAGGCACAACUUUGGACACAAAGGAGGGUUUCUCUGCCCAUUUGUCCCAUAUCUUCCUGUUCUCUGCAUUUUGAUCAACACCUACUUGAUCAUCAACAUUGGAGCUGGGACAUGGAUCAGGGUCUUGGUAUGGCUGCUUAUUGGAAGCAUGAUCUAUCUCUUCUAUGGCCGGUCUCACAGCUUACUGAACAAUGCGGGUUACGUUCCAACAACAGAUCAUCUUGCCUGAUAUUGCAGUGCUCACGUUAUUUCUCAUUUUGAGAAAAAUUUGGAAAUUCUUUCUUUGCAAGAUUUAUACAGACAUAUUUGUCUUUAUUUUUUUAAUUUAAUUUUUAGUAGGUUCAAUAUUAUUAGUUAUUGUAUCUUCAAAUGAAAAUAAAAAUAAAGAAAAU